Molecule: ribosomal RNA, 249 nt
Filed under: uncultured bacterium
Lineage: Bacteria
Description: partial 16S ribosomal RNA
Rfam family: Bacterial small subunit ribosomal RNA
Source: RNAcentral
UAGGGUGCAAGCGUUAAUCGGAAUUACUGGGCGUAAAGCGUGCGCAGGCGGCUGUGCAAGACAGAUGUGAAAUCCCCGGGCUUAACCUGGGAACUGCAUUUGUGACUGCACAGCUGGAGUGCGGCAGAGGGGGAUGGAAUUCCGCGUGUAGCAGUGAAAUGCGUAGAUAUGCGGAGGAACACCGAUGGCGAAGGCAAUCCCCUGGGCCUGCACUGACGCUCAUGCACGAAAGCGUGGGGAGCAAACAGG